This is a long non-coding RNA of Acanthopagrus latus (yellowfin seabream), 546 nucleotides long. RefSeq lists it as uncharacterized. The record is from RefSeq and is a predicted model, not a curated record. The transcript has 2 exons. Lineage: Eukaryota; Metazoa; Chordata; Actinopteri; Spariformes; Sparidae.
AAAAGUCUAACCUUGGAAAAUUUGGAGUGCGGGUAGGAAGGCAAACAAUCCGGCCUGAUCUGAUAAGAUAUGUGUUAUCAACAGAGAGCCGUUUUACAUCCACUUACUUUUAAUAGAAGAGAAACAGAGCGGAAGCACUUCAACACCCCUCAAGAGCGGCAAUGCUGAUUUUCCAUCUCAAUCAGCAGUAUCAGCGAGAGAGAGAAACCUACACCACCUCCAGAGACCGUCAGACAAUGGCCCUCACAUCAGCUUUCACUCCCCCUCCUCAGCCGGGCUAACACACUGUGACCUGGAUCUGGCACUCUGACAUGGAGUCGAUUCAAAUCGACAUGCUAAGAGACACGAGUGCUACAUGAUCCUGUUUCAUCCUGGCAAGCUCGUAAUGCCUCCAAUGCCACGGCCAAAAUGCGGAGACAACAGGGACUAUUGGGCUUCUUCCCGUCGGAGCGUUUAAAGACGUGUUGCUAUUUAGUGCCUGUUCCUUUUCACGCACAGCGUUGGGGGCUUUUGUCAAUCAAAGAAAUAAACAAUGCAACGCCGCCA